AUGGGUUUGUGGAGUUUGUAUCUCAUGCCGCAGCAGAAAGAAUUUUGCAGACAUACAAUGGGACCCAGAUGCCUGGAACGGAGCAAACUUUCAGAUUGAAUUGGGCCUCCUUUGGAAUUGGAGAAAGGCGCCCGGACGCUGGCCCUGAGCACUCUAUUUUUGUGGGGGAUUUGGCUCCUGAUGUUACAGACUAUCUGUUGCAAGAGACCUUUAGAGUACAAUAUCCAUCUGUUAGGGGUGCUAAAGUUGUGACUGAUCCAAACACUGGACGUUCAAAGGGAUAUGGGUUUGUUAAAUUUGCUGAUGAAAAUGAAAGGAAUCGAGCUAUGUCAGAAAUGAAUGGUAUUUAUUGCUCAACUAGGCCUAUGCGUAUUAGUGCAGCAACACCCAAAAAGACCAUUGGUGUUCAGCAGCAAUAUAGUCUAGGUAAAGCAAUGUACCCAG
RNAcentral lists this unclassified non-coding RNA (444 nucleotides) under Hevea brasiliensis (rubber tree). Lineage: Eukaryota; Viridiplantae; Streptophyta; Magnoliopsida; Malpighiales; Euphorbiaceae. The record is from RNAcentral.